RNAcentral lists this long non-coding RNA (1427 nucleotides) under Astyanax mexicanus (Mexican tetra). Its description in RNAcentral is "lncRNA (ENSAMXG00005018413.1)". The record is from RNAcentral. Lineage: Eukaryota; Metazoa; Chordata; Actinopteri; Characiformes; Acestrorhamphidae.
UAAAAUAAUAAUAUUGUUUUCAUUAUGUUAUCUUAUUUGUAUCUCUGUAUAUAUGUGAUAUUUUAAUUGUGUAUAUAUAUUUUUAUCUUGAGUUAGCGCUAUUUCUUCUGUCUUGUCGCUGAACUGUUGUGUUUCCCUCUGGGAUUAAUAGUGAUUAAAAGUGAUCUAUGAUCUAUCUAUGUACCUAAAAUAAACGUCCCCAAAAAAUAUCAAUACAAGCUCAAGCACACAGACACACUUGGCUCUGCACCUGUCAGUAUCAGUAUGAACUGCCGACCAAUCACAGCACAGUGGGCGGGAUCUGUCUGAAUACGGGUGGGAUAAAGAGAGCGCCUGAUGAUUAGAGAUGAAUCCAGGUAAAUGGAAACUUAUUUGUGCUGGGGAAUCCUCGGCCGGGCGUGGGCGGUAGAAACUCCCCUGUUGGGUAACAUGUCUAAACCUGUUCCUCCUGGCUUAUAUAAAGCCAGACUGCGGCUGAUUCAGACCACAAGACCUAGACCGGAUCUCUGUACCUCCAGACCCCAAAAACCGCAACGGCUGCUUUCAGUAGAGCUGCUAUCACAGCUGAGCGGAGACGAGCAGAGGAGAGCAGAGCAUCAUGGACAGGCUUCAUUCAGACAGGUGUGACAGUGUGGAGCUUGAUCCUAAUCUAAGGUUUUGUCUCAGUCCUCCUGGCCAAAGCCCACCAUACACACCUAAUUUAGAGGUGCUUCAAAACCUGGAGAAGAAGAAUCAAGAGCUUCUCGACAUCAAUAAGAAAUGGGCUGAACGAUACAGAACACUGAGACAGCAUGUCAAAAGCUACGAGCUGAGGAAAGAAGAGAAGGAGAAAGACACUAAACAGACUGGACAGGAGGCUGAGCUGAGGGCCCGCCUUCAGGAUGCAGACAGAGAGAUAGCAUGGCUGAGGAUGCACUGUGACACUCUGACCAGAGGAGGGCAACAGCUAAAUGAAGAAAUCAUGAGACUGAAUACGGUCCUGCAGAAGAGCCUGGCAGUUCAACACAAGAGAAACCAGAGAGAGGAAAAUGUUUGGAAACAUCAGGCUCAGGUGUAUAAGGAGGACUUCUUUAAAGAGAGGAAGGAUAGAGAAAUGCUAAUGGCCAAAUACACAGACUUGGAGGAAAAGUUCAAGAAAGUCCAUGAUGAGUUACGUGCUUACAAAUUACAAGCUCGGUGGGCUCAGUUAGGCCCCUCGACAAGCCCCCCAGCACACACAUAACCCAUGUGAUGCAUCAGCGGAGUCCCAUUCAGCUACAGCAUAAAAAACGACUCAAAGCUGACCUUAUUAAGAGCUUACCCUAAGCUGUGCUGCUCCCUUUAUAUAUACCUUUAUUUGUCUGACUGUGUGAUGCUUAUUGUUAGUGUAUUAAGCGUGUUCUAUUAUUUAAAUGGAAUAAUUUAUCUGUAAAUAAAGUUAGUUAUAU